RNAcentral lists this ribosomal RNA (1048 nucleotides) under Phlyctimantis leonardi (olive striped frog). RNAcentral's name for it is "partial 16S ribosomal RNA". It matches the Rfam family "Bacterial large subunit ribosomal RNA", at positions 855 to 2597 of the family's 2925-position model. The record is from RNAcentral. Lineage: Eukaryota; Metazoa; Chordata; Amphibia; Anura; Hyperoliidae.
AUUUGAGAAAAAAAUGUAAGUUCUGCCUUAAACUUAUGUGCGCUUAAAAACACUCAACUAAGCUUAAGAGUCAUUCAAAUAAGGAACAGCCUAUUUGAUACAGGAUACAACCUAAGAUCUUGGGUAAAGCAACUACACUAUAUGACCAAGUCAGCCUGAAAGCAGCUAUCUUUUAAAAAGCGUCAAAGCUUCAUCAUAUAAAACUAAUAAUACCUACAACCUAGCUAAACCCACCACCACUAUCAAAUAACUUCAUAUUAUUAUGUAAGAUAUUAUGUUAGAACUAGUAAUAAGAAUAAGAAAUUCUCUAAAAUAUAAGUGUAACACAGAACGAACUGUUGCUGUUAAUUACUGCAUCUGAACAAAAAGUAGUACCUCACCAAGAAAACUCUACUAAAUUAAGCAUUAAACUUACACAAGUAUAUUUCUAGAAAGAUUAAAAGAAAGGGAAGGAACUCGGCAAAUCCUAAGCCUCGCCUGUUUACCAAAAACAUCGCCUCUUGCUAAAUUAUAAGAGGUCCCGCCUGCCCUGUGACUUAGUUUAACGGCCGCGGUACCUUAACCGUGCAAAGGUAGCACAAUCAAUCGUCCUCUAAAUAGGGACUAGUAUGAAUGGCACCACGAAGGCAUAACUGUCUCCCCCCUCUAAUCAAUGAAACUGAUUUUCUCGUGAAGAAGCGAGAAUAUAAUUAUAAGACGAGAAGACCCCAUGGAGCUUUAAACCCAUCACCACCUGCCCACUAUACACCAAAAACUCAGCAGCUCUGUUCUCAUGAUGGUUUUCGGCUGGGGUGGCCUUGGAGUAAAACAAACCCUCCAAACUGAACGGAAUAAACCCCUAAUUAUAGAACUACUAUUCAAAAACUCAAAACUUUGACAUAAUUGACCCAAUAAAUUGAUCAACGAACCAAGUUACCCUGGGGAUAACAGCGCAAUCCAUUUCAAGAGCCCCUAUCGACAAAUGGGUUUACGACCUCGAUGUUGGAUCGGGGUAUCCUAGCGGCGCAGCCGUUGCUAAAGGUUCGUUUGUUCAACGAUUAAUAACCCC